RNAcentral lists this ribosomal RNA (494 nucleotides) under uncultured bacterium. RNAcentral describes it as "partial 16S ribosomal RNA". It matches the Rfam family "Bacterial small subunit ribosomal RNA", at positions 28 to 507 of the family's 1533-position model. The record is from RNAcentral.
GACGAACGCUGGCGGCGUGCUUAACACAUGCAAGUCGAACGGAAAGGCCUGCUUUCCCUUGUGGAUUGCGGGUACUCGAGUGGCGAACGGGUGAGUAACACGUGAGUGAUCUGCCCCCAACUUGGGUAUAAGCCUGGGAAACUGGGUCUAAUUCCCGAUAGGACUGCAGGGUGGUGCCUGUGGUGGAAAACGAUUUUCUAGUGGUUGGGGAUGAGCUCGCGGCCUAUCAGCUUGUUGGUGGGGUAAUGGCCUACCAAGGCGGCGACGGGUAGCCGGCCUGAGAGGGUGGACGGCCGCAUUGGGACUGGGAUACGGCCCAGACUCCUACGGGAGGCAGCAGUGGGGAAUAUUGCACAAUGGGCGGAAGCCUGAUGCAGCGACGCCGCGUGGGGGAUGACGGCCUUCGGGUUGUAAACUCCUUUCGACCGCGAGGAAGCCACCUGGUUGGAAGGGUGGUGACGGUAGUGGUAGAAGAAGCACCGGCUAACUACGUG